Molecule: ribosomal RNA, 497 nt
Filed under: uncultured bacterium
Lineage: Bacteria
Description: partial 16S ribosomal RNA
Rfam family: Bacterial small subunit ribosomal RNA
Source: RNAcentral
GAUGAACGCUGGCGGCGUGCCUAAUACAUGCAAGUCGAGCGAACAGAUAAGGAGCUUGCUCCUUUGACGUUAGCGGCGGACGGGUGAGUAACACGUGGAUAACCUACCUAUAAGACUGGGAUAACUUCGGGAAACCGGAGCUAAUACCGGAUAACAUAUUGAACCGCAUGGUUCAAUAGUGAAAGGCGGCUUUGCUGUCGCUUAUAGAUGGAUCCGCGCCGUAUUAGCUAGUUGGUAAGGUAACGGCUUACCAAGGCAACGAUACGUAGCCGACCUGAGAGGGUGAUCGGCCACACUGGAACUGAGACACGGUCCAGACUCCUACGGGAGGCAGCAGUAGGGAAUCUUCCGCAAUGGGCGAAAGCCUGACGGAGCAACGCCGCGUGAGUGAUGAAGGUCUUCGGAUCGUAAAACUCUGUUAUCAGGGAAGAACAAAUGUGUAAGUAACUGUGCACAUCUUGACGGUACCUGAUCAGAAGGCCACGGCUAACUACGUG